Molecule: ribosomal RNA, 266 nt
Filed under: uncultured Planctomycetota bacterium
Lineage: Bacteria; Pseudomonadati; Planctomycetota
Description: uncultured planctomycete partial 16S ribosomal RNA
Rfam family: Bacterial small subunit ribosomal RNA
Source: RNAcentral
AAGCACGUAGGUGGGUUUGUAAGUCAGACGUGAAAGCCUUCUGUUCAACGGAAGAAUUGCAUCUGAAACUACAAACCUUGAGUGUAGGAGGGGAGAAUGGAACUUCUGGUGGAGCGGUGAAAUGCGUAGAUAUCAGAAGGAACGCCGGCGGCGAAAGCGAUUCUCUGGCCUAUUACUGACACUCAGUGUGCGAAAGCUAGGGGAGCAAACGGGAUUAGAUACCCCGGUAGUCCUAGCCGUAAACGAUGGGCACUAAGUAGAGGGGU